Molecule: ribosomal RNA, 491 nt
Filed under: uncultured bacterium
Lineage: Bacteria
Description: partial 16S ribosomal RNA
Rfam family: Bacterial small subunit ribosomal RNA
Source: RNAcentral
AGUGAACGCUGGCGGUAGGCCUAACACAUGCAAGUCGAACGGCAGCACAGUAGAGCUUGCUCUUACGGGUGGCGAGUGGCGGACGGGUGAGGAAUACAUCGGAAUCUACUUUUUCGUGGGGGAUAACGUAGGGAAACUUACGCUAAUACCGCAUACGACCUACGGGUGAAAGCAGGGGAUCUUCGGACCUUGCGCGAUUGAAUGAGCCGAUGUCGGAUUAGCUAGUUGGCGGGGUAAAGGCCCACCAAGGCGACGAUCCGUAGCUGGUCUGAGAGGAUGAUCCGCCACACUGGAACUGAGACACGGUCCAGACUCCUACGGGAGGCAGCAGUGGGGAAUAUUGGACAAUGGGCGCAAGCCUGAUCCAGCCAUACCGCGUGGGCGAAGAAGGCCUUCGGGUUGUAAAGCCCUUUUGUUGGGAAAGAAAAGCAGCAGGUUAAUACCCCGCUGUUCUGACGGUACCCAAAGAAUAAGCACCGGCUAACUUCGUG